UAUACUGUGAAACUGCGUACAGCUCAUUAUAUCAGCAAUUAUUUAUUUGAUGGUACCUUACUACAUGGAUAACCGUGGUAAUUCUAGAGCUAAUACAUGCACAAAGUCCCAACUCUUGCGGGGAGGGAUGUAUUUAUUAGAUACAAAACCAAUACCACCUCUGGUGGAUAUUGUGGUGACUCAUAAUAACUGAUCGAAUCGCAUGGCUUCAUGCUGGCGAUAGUUCAUUCAAAUUUCUGCCCUAUCAGCU
This 250-nucleotide ribosomal RNA is filed under the name uncultured Euglypha. RNAcentral describes it as "partial 18S ribosomal RNA". It matches the Rfam family "Eukaryotic small subunit ribosomal RNA", at positions 75 to 320 of the family's 1831-position model. The record is from RNAcentral. Lineage: Eukaryota; Cercozoa; Imbricatea; Euglyphida; Euglyphidae.